This is a long non-coding RNA of Cyprinus carpio (common carp), 240 nucleotides long. RefSeq lists it as uncharacterized. The record is from RefSeq and is a predicted model, not a curated record. NCBI's taxonomy places the organism in Eukaryota, Metazoa, Chordata, Actinopteri, Cypriniformes, Cyprinidae. The transcript has 3 exons.
UUGGUUGGUUUGUUUAUUCUUAUUCUCUUAUGCAAUUAUUGUAAUUCUUAAACAUAUGGAAUCUGACAUUUUUACUGAAGAUGUAUUAUGUUUUUUUAAAUUGAUGAACUUACUCUGUAAUGCACUGAUCAUUUGGCAUGAAACCUUUUUAUUUCCACAGCAACAUCAAGUGGAAUUUCACUAAGUUCCUCAUCAACAGAGAAGGUCAGGUUGUGAAGAGGUAUGGACCGGCGGAAUAUG